Non-coding RNA from Potamilus streckersoni, 74 nucleotides. The record is from the annotation of a GenBank genome assembly. Lineage: Eukaryota; Metazoa; Mollusca; Bivalvia; Unionida; Unionidae.
CACUCUGUUGGCCUAGUGGUUAGAGCAUCCACCUUGUAUGCGUAAGGUCAUGGGUUCAAUCGCCGGUCAAGUCA